RNAcentral lists this ribosomal RNA (831 nucleotides) under Mesobacillus thioparans. RNAcentral describes it as "bacterial SSU rRNA". It matches the Rfam family "Bacterial small subunit ribosomal RNA", at positions 70 to 885 of the family's 1533-position model. The record is from RNAcentral. Lineage: Bacteria; Bacillati; Bacillota; Bacilli; Caryophanales; Bacillaceae.
CUUCAUUAGCUUGCUUUUGAAGAUCAGCGGCGGACGGGUGAGUAACACGUGGGCAACCUGCCUGUAAGACUGGGAUAACUUCGGGAAACCGGAGCUAAUACCGGAUAAUCCUUUCCCUCACAUGAGGGAAAGCUGAAAGACGGUUUCGGCUGUCACUUACAGAUGGGCCCGCGGCGCAUUAGCUAGUUGGUGAGGUAAUGGCUCACCAAGGCAACGAUGCGUAGCCGACCUGAGAGGGUGAUCGGCCACACUGGGACUGAGACACGGCCCAGACUCCUACGGGAGGCAGCAGUAGGGAAUCUUCCGCAAUGGACGAAAGUCUGACGGAGCAACGCCGCGUGAACGAUGAAGGCUUUCGGGUCGUAAAGUUCUGUUGUCAGGGAAGAACAAGUACCGGAGUAACUGCCGGUACCUUGACGGUACCUGACCAGAAAGCCACGGCUAACUACGUGCCAGCAGCCGCGGUAAUACGUAGGUGGCAAGCGUUGUCCGGAAUUAUUGGGCGUAAAGCGCGCGCAGGCGGUUCCUUAAGUCUGAUGUGAAAGCCCCCGGCUCAACCGGGGAGGGUCAUUGGAAACUGGGGAACUUGAGUGCAGAAGAGGAGAGCGGAAUUCCACGUGUAGCGGUGAAAUGCGUAGAGAUGUGGAGGAACACCAGUGGCGAAGGCGGCUCUCUGGUCUGUAACUGACGCUGAGGCGCGAAAGCGUGGGGAGCGAACAGGAUUAGAUACCCUGGUAGUCCACGCCGUAAACGAUGAGUGCUAAGUGUUAGAGGGUUUCCGCCCUUUAGUGCUGCAGCAAACGCAUUAAGCACUCCGCCUGGGGAGUACGG